Molecule: unclassified non-coding RNA, 212 nt
Filed under: Melitaea cinxia (Glanville fritillary)
Lineage: Eukaryota; Metazoa; Arthropoda; Insecta; Lepidoptera; Nymphalidae
Description: misc RNA ENSMCXG00005013916.1
Source: RNAcentral
AGGUUAGGUUAGGUUAGGUUAGGUUUGUUUUUUUUUUUUUUUUUUUUUUUUUUUUUUUUUUUUUUUUUUUUUUUUUUUUUUUUUUUUUUUUUUUUUUUUUUUUUUUUUUUUUAUUAUCGUUGCCAUUUUCUUUCGCAACGCUUGUGCCAGUAAUUUUUUGAUUCAACAAUAGUAAUAUGACAAUAAUAUAAUAAUUUUCUAAUAAUAGUAUA